Molecule: long non-coding RNA, 8085 nt
Filed under: Xyrichtys novacula (pearly razorfish)
Lineage: Eukaryota; Metazoa; Chordata; Actinopteri; Labriformes; Labridae
Source: RNAcentral
UUGGGUCAGAGCUGAGAGCACUCUGUCCAACAGAGACAACAGGGUGUCUCUGCGGCUUCCUGUUUACUUCUUACAGCAGUUAAAUCCAUCCGGAAGAUUCACUCAAGACUUAAAAACCUCUUUGAAAAAAAGUUCAUUUCUGCCUCUGUGGCUUCACUUAAUUUUUUCAGGGGUUAUCAAGGUAGCAUUUGGUGCAUUACACAUGUGCUGCUGUGAAAAUUGGAAAAAAAGACAAUGAGACAGAUCAUAUUUCAGGUCAUGAGAUGAAAGCUAUCCCCAGCAGGUGUUUCCAUGGCAGACGCAAUAUCCACUGAUACUGAAGGACUUACAUUGUGUUCAGCGCUCUUCAGCCUGUUUCCCUCCACAGCUACUAUGUGGGAGGGUCGUGACCACUCAGCCAGAGCUACUUCUCCCACCAGAGACAAGACACACACAGCAGGCCAUGCACUGUGACCAUGCCGCCUUAAAUAGCCCACACUGAUGCCUGCUCACACAGACCCGCGGUGAGUCACUUCAGCACAGAGCUGAAAAGCUGCUCGGGAGCAAAGAGGGAAAAAAUGACUGUGUUCGUGGUUAAGUUUUACUUCUUUCUAUCUCACAUGUUUGUCUUCUUCUGCCAGUAUGCUGUUUUUUGGUAUCCUCAGAAACAAUGACUCAUCAAAAAUUAAGAUUUAAUCUGUGCAAUGCAACUAUUCUUGUGGUAAGACUAAAAGAGUGUUGCCAACAAUAUUAUUCCAAAUAAAUCUGUGAUAUAACCUCAUAUGUCAAAAAUACAGUAGAAAAUAUGAUUGAGCAUUUUUAUAAUGCUUACUCCACUUUUCACAAGCUUAUGUGCAGGCUUAUGUGAAGGCAGGCCAGAUGUAUAUCUAUUCAUGCCAACAUGAAUCUCUUUGAUAACUCCCCCCCUUUGUAACAUUUUGGUCUGUCAUCUUCCUUGAGUAUGUUUAAAAACUUUCUCGAGAUGAUCAUGUCCAGGGACCUGUCACACCAGCUGAGUUAAGGUAUGUAGUCCUAAUGAUGAUCUACAUACAAUCUGCAUAUUCAUGAAGGCAAACAUGCUAAAUGGAUUGCGCGCGCUGUUUUGCUCAUUUGACAGACACUAUCCUUGGUGCACCCAGUUGCAGAUCAGCUUUGCGUGCGUAAUCAAGUUUGGGUGUUUUUGCACAAGCAAACCUUGAGUAGAUCAGGCUCUUCUUUUUUUUUUUUUUGUUACCUCCGCUAAGGAUGUUAUGUUUUCAGUAGCGUUGGUUUGUUUGUUUGUCUGUUAGCAACUUUACGGAGAAAGUUACAGACGGAUUGACCUGAAAUUUUCACCAGAGGUGCGUCUCAGCCCCAGGAGGAUGCCAAAUUUUGGUUGUGAUCCGGACAAAAUUUUGGAUACUGUGAUGCAGAACACACAAAAAUAAGGGUGUUGUUGGAAUUUUCAAUGCUGAAAGAUAACCAAUGGGCGGCACACUGGUGCAGAUAGGUGGCACAGUGGUGUAGUGGUUAGCACUGUUGCCUCACAACCAGAAGGUCCUGUGUUUGAAUCCUGGCAAGGGUAUUUCUUGUUUUAGGAACAUUAUGAACAGUGUACAUACCAGUUUAAACACAAAUAAACAUUAAUAAAAGACACGCAACAGUAAAAGUUUUGGUGUAAAUCUCAAUAUAAGGGGGGACAUGAGCUGCUUGGCGGAGGUCUGCACUCUCCGAGUGCUUUUCUAGUUUUUAAUGUGGCCCUAAUAUUCCAUCAUAGGUCAUACAUUUUAAUUUGAUGUACUUAUCACAGAAAACACACUGCCUGCACAAAUCAGCAAGUCAAACUCUCUGGUUCUCUUCCAAGUCCUCCCACCUUUAAAAAAAAUGAUGCAAUGAGACAAUCAUUAAUUUUGGUGGACUUUGCACUAAGACUGGGUGGUCUGACAAAAAAAAGAAAAAAAUGAUUGAUAUAUUUUGCCAUACCGUCCGAUCUCAAUUGUUAUCACAAAUUUUUUUUAAACUGCCAAUUUUAAAGCAUCUGUACUGAAAACUUAAGCAAUUAGAGAUUAUUUCAACAUUUUAUUAACAUGCAAAGUAAAUAACUAAGUAAAUUGAAUAAGAUAAACAUCAGAAAAUACAAAAAACAUUUUAACUCAACAGUACAAGAAAUAUAAAUACUAAAUAAUACAGUGAACUACUUCACAGUCCUGAGUGUUUUUGCAGGUAUGCAAGACCCAAAAUAAACAAUUGGCCCCACUCAGGAAUAAUGAAGAUGCCUUAAAAUGUAAACAUUAGAUGAUGUAAACAUAGAUGAUACGAUUGAUUGCUGCUUUGAUUUGGUGGCUGCACCGCUAGUUGUGGCUAAACCCAAACCCAAACCAAAUCCCAAAUGGGAAAUUAAAUUCAACCUCUGUGAAGUUUGAACUAAGGCUACGUUCACACUGCAUGGUGCACAAUUCGGAUUUUUUGUUAAAUCCGAUCUUUUUGUGCGGUCGUUCACAUUACAACGAAUGUGGCAUCUAAUGUGAAUAGAAUGCAUCCCUGAAGUGACCCGCAUGCGCACAAAGCACAAAUUUCUUUCCACGCCUGUUUGUGUUGUCCAACAAUGGUGACAUUUGUCACAUAUUGAUGACGUGUAGGUCGGAUGAAUGCGACCUAAGCGUCCACACUGCAGUCACAUCAGAUACAUAUCCGAUUUAUAUCCACAUACAAAAGAGGCCUGGGUCAGAUUUAAAAAUAUGAAUUGCACUGUUCACACUUACAUGAAAAAAUCUGAUAUGUGUCACAUAUGGUAAAUAUCGGAAUUGACCUGCGGUGUGAACAUAGCCUUAGACAGGACUUACAGUCAUAGCUGGUGCAACCAAGUGAAGGUUUGAUUUUACAAAGUUAACUAGUGUAGUUUAGUGUGCUAACAUGCUAAUAUUUUGAUAUCGAAAGUCAAAAUACAGGCUCAUUUAUGCGUCCUUGAUGCAUUUAAAAACACAUCCUCUAUUGACCCAAAUACAAGAAUCCUCUGAUCUCCCUCCUCUCGUCUUAAACCACUGUCCUCUGGGUAGCAAACAGAGCUUCACACCACUUAGCAUGGCAGGUCUGUAAGUACUUCCAGUUUAGCUGAGGACUGAGGGCUUUGGGGUCCAGGGAUUGCCUGGAUUCAAACAUUACCAUAAGCAAAAACAGGCACCAAAACGGAAAUCCUACCAAGUAAAACAACAAAAGUGCUUGUGCAGGUUUUUCCAAAGGACAUGCUUUCAUGUCAAAGUCACACAGACCUUUUAAUGCCUACAGCACUAUACUUAAUAGCAAAGGAGGAGGAAGUAAAGGGAUUUUAUGAGAAAGCAAUUUUUUUAACUGCGGCUAAAAAAGUAUUUGGAGGUUCUUGCUAAAAAAGCUGCUGUUCUGCUUAUGGUUGUUGGGAAAAGAAAAGUCUCGUCGCUGUGAGAACUUCACAUACUGUAUCUUUAAAGACUUGAAAUAGCUUCUGUGGCUGGUAAGACAAAGCUGUACAUAACUUUUACAUUUCUUGGACUACUUUUAAAAUGUACUACGUGGACUGUAAAUUGCUGGUAAAAAAUAUAUAAUUUUUUUUUGAUGAAUAUCUCAUACUUUAAAUUCCCAUUGAGUGCAACCAUGCACAGUGUUUUCCUCACCUAUAUAAAAGACCUAAUUCAUCCGGAUCAGAAACUGUAGAUUUUGGUAUUUCUGAGCCUUUAGCCAGCCUGAUGGACACUGUAUGACAGAAUUAACAGUCACAAAUUAUGCAGAUGUGAUUUAAGAUUAAGCAUUUUUUUUGUUUCUAAUGCUCUCAAGAAAUGUCAUUGAACAACUUGUUGUCACUGGAGUGUUAAAUUUCAUAUGCAAAUCAGUGCUGCAUACCGCAAAAUUCUGCAAAACACCAAAAAGAGUUCAUUCUGCUGUAGUGAUUACCCUUGACCAUCCCUGCAUCAAUCAGUCACACACUCAUCACACGCACACACGCACACACACACACACACACACACACACACACACACACACACACACACACACACACACACACACAGCUACUGUACUUACUGUACAGUCUCUUUCACUCCCACUUCUGUGUUUGUUCAUCCCUUUGACAAUAUUGAACCUUCAGUAAGUUGAGAGACUGGUCAGUUUGACUUUGCAGAAAUGUGCAGUAUUGCAGUUUAAGUCUCAGGCGGGGGUUCACUCUGAUCGAUGCACAAAGGCUUAGAGAAGGCAGAGUGGAGCUGGCACCUGUGAGGCACAUCGAGUUUGAAUUGACAGCUGCAGAGCUGUGAGGUGUGUCUCCAGUGAGGGCAGGAAGCUGAGCCUGGAGACCUCUUUUAUUCCCACGUAAUGUUGAAAUACUCCAGUGCAAUAGACAACCUGUCUUAAACAAAGCCUAUCUGAUGUUAAUAGACUGUAGCAGUUCAAAAUAAAAGUAUAUGGCGCAGGGAGGUUUAUUGAAUUAGCCUCGCUGAAGCUGAUACAAUAAAACCGAUAAGAUUUUACAGCAGCUUUCACAUGGGAAAAAUGAAAAGAAGUCUGUUCUCCCACUUCACACUCUGAAUAAUGUACACUCAUCUGUGCUGCAAACCAGUGGAUAUCAGUAAUCAUUACUGUCCUGGCUGUCAGGUUCCCUUGUAACAGUAAGGUAUUUGACAUGUAUAUUCUUUGGGUACUGCAAAAUGGCGAAGUGCAUUUUUAAAACGGGCUUUUAAAGAGUAAAUAUAGAGGCAUGGUUUUACAUGUUUGUGAGGAGGUAUUACCAGGGAUGCCCGAUUAAAUCUUCAGGGAGAGAACAGGCUUUUAGUAUUCACUCUGAGCAUAAACAUCUAAGAACUUACAGGGAUGAAAUUCCACUUCUGUUACUAGGAAACAUCAGAGAGGGUCUCCCUGAAAUCCUGAUGCAGAAAAACAAAGCAAGCUAAGCAGAUUGCACAAAUGUAGCUCAUCAUUUUUAAUAUCCUCUCUAUGGAAAAAUUAAAUGAACAUCAAACCAUCAGAAAUAUAGCUUUACCAAAGUUGAAAGAACACAGUGUGAAAAACAAGAGAAAAAGGAGCUGACAGAGGCAAGUGGACCUAAAUAGACCGGGUGAAGAAAACAUGGAGGAGUGUGGUGGUAAAUAAUUGAGGGUGAAAGAGCUCCCACUGACCUGCUGUGAUACUCUGCUCAGUUUCCCUCUGACUACACAGGUCCAAGAAAUCAGUGAAAUGUUCCCUUUAACUUGGACAUACACUGCAUCCCAGGAUAAUCGGAUCGAUGGCCACUGAUUGCCCACCUUGCUCGGCUGUUAGGGCCAUUACCAAUGUUGUCUUCAAUCGAUCAUAGGAGAAAAGUGUGUGUGUGUCCUGGUCCCAGCUUGAGAUAGAUAUUCUGUGGUGAAGGUCUGCUGGCCUCUCACCUUUAGUUUUUUGACCAACCAUCUCAAGAGGAAGGCUAGGGCACAGAGUGGAGGAUAGUUUUAAAUAAGGGGUUCAUUAGGAAGCUGUGCCCACCAGCACCAUCUUAUUGAAGGGAGACCAGGGUUGGUUCUCACAAAACUUAUUACAGAAAAACAAAGGUAGAGAGUCAUCAAGUUCAUAGCAAAUAUUUGGUCUAAUGCAGUGAUUUAUAAUGCAGAUAUUUUCUGAAUCAGACGCAAAACAUUGAGCUGAGAAAUAAUUUCUUAUCUUUAUGAUUACUUAAUGGGGCUCUAAUUUUGUGCCGGCCGGCAGCACAGCACAGGGUGGCGCAGUGCAGGGCACAGUGGCGCACAGAGGCGCACUGAGAUGCAUCAAGAUGGGCAUAGCAGUGCAGUAGGGGGAGGUGUCGACAUAAUCAGCUGAGGCAUUGGCAAUUUCAAAAAUGCGAACAAAACAACAAAAGACACCUUCAUUCAAAAUAGCCCAUUUAUCUAAUGUUUCCACAUUCUUAGAUUCUGUGAGUAUUCAAUCUUGAGUUAGGUCUACAUGCCAACAUUAUAAUAAUCAGUUAGUUAUUUUACAUGACAACAUUAGUGGUAUAAAAAUCCAGGCAAAAUUAGAGCCCUUCAUGUUGAAGGUGGUUUUGAACUAAAUUCACCUUGCGGUUAAGUAUGUUUUUUACAUUAAUGAAAUAGACACCCAUGACACAGAAAUUCAGACCAGUGCUAUAACAUGAUAGUCAGAAGUAAAGGCAGCAAGAUCAGGUUUUUUUGUAUCAUAAUCUUUAGUGCCUGAAACCAGCAUAUUGGGUCAAGAAGCAGGUUUUACAGUUUACACCCAAAACAUUACAAUGAAUGACACAUUAGACUGUCAAAAGUCAAUACUAAGGCCACUUUUAGACGGAAACGGUCUCCAUAGAAAACAGAAAAAUUUAGUUUCGUUUAGAGGGGUCUGUUUAGACUGCAGCUGCGUUUUCAGGAGAUGAAAACGUAACAAAGUGAAAACCCCCUCCAGAGUGGAAAUGUUGUAAACGCUCUGCUACUCCCGCUUUCGUCGAAAGUACAAAAAUGCUAGACAUUCGAGUCGGGCUGUCGUUAUUAUUGAACGGGCAGGAGCUCAAUUUCGACCUGUACAGAAUCCUCACAGAUCAUACUGCUUAGCAGAGGAGGCGUCUGAAUUAUUUGCAUCAAAUAAUUAAUGAAGAAAGGAAGUUGUUCUACAUAUGCGUUGUUGGUCUAUAUGGGAGCGCGGUCACAUUGACACGAGCCACUUAGCGACCUGGCAUGCACAUUACAGCGUUUUCAACCACAUUGCGUUUUUGUGUAAACACAGCAUAAAAACUGAAAACGAAACGGCACUUUUCCGUUUUCUAUAGAGACCGUUUCCGUCUAAAAGUGGCCUCAGGCAUGAAGAGGAUAAGCUAAGCAAAGACUGCUUUGUCCACCAGGGUCGCUAAAAUUGACUCGAAUUAAAAGUUCCUCCCUGGAGCUUUAAAAGUUAUUUGGAAGUGGAAGUAGAUAGUUUAAGUUUCAGCUAGAUACUUCAAGCCCGCUGGUAACUGUCACAAAGUCUUUGACAAGAUAAAAGAAGGGGCUGGUUGUAAGAAACUUGCUCUGGGAAAAGUUGGAUUUGUUAUCCAUGCCUACUUUUAAAGUCAUCAUUUUACAUACUGUCGGUCAUUUUGGGACUUUUUUUUUCAUAUCAGUAUAAAAAGACAAUUACUAUUCCAACUGUCUGACACAGUCCAUAUGGUCUCCAGUGUUUUUGAAAAAACACACCCACACAUUCGCACCCAUUUAUUUUUUUGCAGCAUUAAACACGUCACCUUUGUUAUAAUUCACUUCAAAGGAUAGGUCAAACAGCCAAAUGCAAUCUGUUGCCAGCAAGCUAGCUUGUAGCUGAAUAACAACAAGACAGACUUAAUUAAAAUGCUGAAAAGAUUAACUGUGAAUCCAAAAAUAUUGACACAGCUUGUGGUUUAGGUUAUAUUUUUCAUCCAGAUCCGCAACUUGUGAUCUUUAGGAAGUAACUCAUAUUCCAAAAAACAAGGAUAGUUUUACCGAGACAGGAGAAAUAUCAAAAUAAAAGCAUGAAAAACAACUAUUUUUUAGAUAUUUACAAUAUACAAGUCAAUAGGAAGUAUACUAGCCACAGGGGAUCACGAUAAACCUAGCCACUUUGUCGAAAACCUGCUGGUGAACAGGAACUGAAGCUAGGUUAGCAACUACUACAGACUGGGUCAUCCCUACCACACACUUGAACUGAAUUUUACAAAACUCGAACCACAGCAAUAUACUUGGUGUACACUGUCUUUGAAAAAUGUAUAUUGCUUCACUUCCAUUCAUUUUUACACUUUUCUAAAAUGCUUUUUUCUAGAACCUGCGCUCAACCGAGUAACAGCAACUACUGAUGGAUAUUUCUGCUGGGACAAGAGUUUACUCAAAAGGGGAGCUUCUUUCAUUGAGACGGAGCCAAUCUGGACGACAACAUUUAAUCCCAGAAGACAUCAGGAGGCGUUAUCGUGGUUGCCGUGCUGAUGUAAAGGUGAAGGCAAAGUUAAAGGCUAAGAAAUAGAGGUAUAAACCCUUUCUUCUGUCAGUCACCAUGGGAAACAUCACCUCUCUACCCAACAAAAGUGAUGAGCUGGAGUUAUUGGUGAAGACUGAUAAAUCAUACCAUUUGUGCAGAACCUGUAUUUUACUUAAACCUGGUUGAAUAAAAACAACUCAGACUCCA